RNAcentral lists this ribosomal RNA (418 nucleotides) under uncultured bacterium. Its description in RNAcentral is "bacterial SSU rRNA". It matches the Rfam family "Bacterial small subunit ribosomal RNA", at positions 358 to 774 of the family's 1533-position model. The record is from RNAcentral.
GGAAUAUUGGUCAAUGGGCGCGAGCCUGAACCAGCCAAGUAGCGUGAAGGACGACUGCCCUAUGGGUUGUAAACUUCUUUUGUUUGGGAAUAAAGUGGGUCACGUGUGGCCUUUUGUAUGUACCAUACGAAUAAGCAUCGGCUAAUUCCGUGCCAGCAGCCGCGGUAAUACGGAAGAUGCGAGCGUUAUCCGGAUUUAUUGGGUUUAAAGGGAGCGUAGGCGGCCCGUUAAGUCAGCGGUUAAAUGUCAGUGCCCAACAUUUGCAUGCCGUUGAUACUGGUGGGCUUGAAUACACACAAGGAUGGUGGAAUUCGUCGUGUAGCGGUGAAAUGCUUAGAUAUGACGAAGAACUCCGAUUGCGAAGGCAGCCAUCUGGGGUGCGAUUGACGCUGAGGCUCGAAAGUGCGGGAAUCAAACA